AUCUCUAGCUAGUUUUAAUGAUAAAGAUAUUACACAUAGAGAACAUCAUUUCUGUUAUUUAAAAGAAAAUAGAACAAUAGUGGAUAUGUUACUUUUUGAACAACAUAAUUUGUUUUUAACCAUUUGAUUUUCUUGCUUUGUCUCUUUUUGAUUAUAUAUGAUCUCAUUUUUUUCUUCUUUCUAUUUUUACAUUUUACAAAUUGUAUGUGUCUUUUUUCUCUAUUUCAUGUUAUUGGCACAGUAAUGUAUAAUAUAUUAUGCAGCAUUGUUGGUGUAUUCUGGUUACAAUUUGAAUUCUUCUCAGACAUGGCAGGUGAGAUCAGACAUCUCAAAGAUAUUUUCACAUUCACACACUUUAAGUACACAGCUGUAUGGGUUUUUUCUUGGUUUUCUUUUAUGCAUUUAACAAAAUACAUAUUUUUGUUUUUUAAAAUAGAAAUAUCAUUUGAAAAUGAGUAAUAAUAGUAUAAAAUUUCUCUCAUACAACUGUCAAG
RNAcentral lists this long non-coding RNA (494 nucleotides) under Mytilus galloprovincialis (Mediterranean mussel). The record is from RNAcentral. Lineage: Eukaryota; Metazoa; Mollusca; Bivalvia; Mytilida; Mytilidae.